GGGAAUACUAGUGCGGGACUCGCGGCCACCUCCCCCCUUGUCUCUAUACACCUGUUGCUUUGGCGGGCCCACCGGGGCCACCUGGUCGCCGGGGGACGCACGUCUCCGGGCCCGCGCCCGCCGAAGCGCUCUGUGAACCCUGAUGAAGAUGGGCUGUCUGAGUACUGUGAAAAUUGUCAAAACUUUCAACAAUGGAUCUCUUGGUUCCGGCAUCGAUGAAGAACGCAGCGAAAUGCGAUAAGUAAUGUGAAUUGCAGAAUUCCGUGAAUCAUCGAAUCUUUGAACGCACAUUGCGCCCCCUGGCAUUCCGGGGGGCAUGCCUGUCCGAGCGUCAUUUCUGCCCUCAAGCACGGCUUGUGUGUUGGGUGUGGUCCCCCCGGGGACCUGCCCGAAAGGCAGCGGCGACGUCCGUCUGGUCCUCGAGCGUAUGGGGCUGUCACUCGCUCGGGAAGGACCUGCGGGGGUUGGUCACCACCAUGUUUUUACCACGGUUGACCUCGGAUCAGGUAGGAGUUACCCGCUGAACUUAAGCAUAUAAAAACGGGGGGAAAAAAAUAAAUAUUAAUC
RNAcentral lists this unclassified non-coding RNA (567 nucleotides) under Talaromyces pinophilus. Its description in RNAcentral is "sequence contains ITS1, 5.8S rRNA gene and ITS2". The stretch from base 181 to 334 matches the Rfam family "5.8S ribosomal RNA". Lineage: Eukaryota; Fungi; Ascomycota; Eurotiomycetes; Eurotiales; Trichocomaceae. The record is from RNAcentral.